AUUGAACGCUGGCGGCAGGCCUAACACAUGCAAGUCGAGCGGAUGCAUCGAUCUUGCUCCUGGAUUGGGCGGCAGACGGGUGGAUAGUGCCUAUUGAUCUGCCAUGGCGUGGGGAAUCAGGGCCGAAAACGGGCUCUGCUCCCGCGUAGGACCUUAUAGCGACAGAGGGGGGUCUUAAGACCUAACGCUGUCGGAUGGGCCUAGGUCGGAUUAGCUAGUUGGUGCGGUAAUGGCCUACCAAGGCGACGAUGCAUAGCUGGUCUGAGAGGAUGAUCAGCCACACUGGGACUGAGACACGGCCCAGACUCCUACGGGAGGCAGCAGUGGGGGAUCUUAGACAAUGGGGGAAACCCUGAUCGAGCCAUGCCGCGUGAGCGAUGAAGGCCUUAGGGUUGUAAAGCUCUUUCAGCUGGGAAGAUAAUGACGGUACCAGCAGAAGAAGCCCCGGCUAACUCCGUG
Molecule: ribosomal RNA, 459 nt
Filed under: uncultured bacterium
Lineage: Bacteria
Description: partial 16S ribosomal RNA
Rfam family: Bacterial small subunit ribosomal RNA
Source: RNAcentral